This 459-nucleotide ribosomal RNA is filed under the name uncultured bacterium. Its description in RNAcentral is "bacterial SSU rRNA". It matches the Rfam family "Bacterial small subunit ribosomal RNA", at positions 9 to 507 of the family's 1533-position model. The record is from RNAcentral.
AGUAGUUUGAUCAGUGGCUCGAGGACGAACGCUGGCGGGGUGCUUCACACAUGCAAGUCGAACGAGGUAGCAAUACCUAGUGGCGGACGGGUGAGUAACGCGUGGGAAUCUGCCUUUAGAUGGGGGAUAACGGGUCGAAAGACUCGCUAAUACCGCAUAUGACGAAAGUUGAAAGGAGUAAUCCGUCUAAAGAUGAGCCCGCGUCCGAUUAGCUAGUUGGUAGAGUAAAAGCCUACCAAGGCGACGAUCGGUAGCUGGUCUGAGAGGAUGAUCAGCCACAAUGGGACUGAGACACGGCCCAUACUCCUACGGGAGGCAGCAGUGGGGAAUUUUACGCAAUGGGCGAAAGCCUGACGUAGCGACACCGCGUGAGCGAAGAAGCCCCUUGGGGUGUAAAGCUCUGUCAGCUGGAACGAAAAAAUGACGGUACCAGCAGAGGAAGCAUCGGCUAACUACGUG